GACGAACGCUGGCGGCGUGCCUAAUACAUGCAAGUAGGACGCAGUUGCGAACGGGUGAGUAACGCGUAUGUAACUACCUAUUAGUGGGGGAUAACUAUUGUCAACGAUAGCUAAUACCGCAUACUAGUAGAUGGACCUUCGUUGUAUUAGCUAGUAUGUAGGGUAAUGGCCUACCUAGGCAACGAUACAUAGCCGACCUGAGAGGGUGAUCGGCCAAACUGGGACGGAGGACAGGCCCAGGCCCCCACGGGAGGCAGCAGUAGGGAAUCAUCGGCAAUGGGGGGAAACCUGACCAAGCAAAGCCGCGGGGGUGAAGAAGGUGUUCGGAUCGUAAAACUCUGUUGUUAAGGAAGCGGUACUUAACCAGGAAGGGACGGCUAACUACGUGCCAGCCGCCGCGGUAAUAC
RNAcentral lists this ribosomal RNA (407 nucleotides) under uncultured bacterium. RNAcentral's name for it is "partial 16S ribosomal RNA". It matches the Rfam family "Bacterial small subunit ribosomal RNA", at positions 28 to 526 of the family's 1533-position model. The record is from RNAcentral.